Molecule: ribosomal RNA, 465 nt
Filed under: uncultured bacterium
Lineage: Bacteria
Description: partial 16S ribosomal RNA
Rfam family: Bacterial small subunit ribosomal RNA
Source: RNAcentral
GACGAACGCUGGCGGCGUGCUUAACACAUGCAAGUCGAACGGAAAGGCCCCUUUGGGGGUACUCGAGUGGCGAACGGGUGAGUAACACGUGAGUAACCUGCCCUUGACUUCGGGAUAACUUCAGGAAACUGGGGCUAAUACCGGAUAGGAAUCCUUGCUGCAUGGUGGGGGUUGGAAAGCUUCGGCGGUUUUGGAUGGACUCGCGGCGUAUCAGCUUGUUGGUGGGGUAGUGGCUUACCAAGGCUUUGACGGGUAGCCGGCCUGAGAGGGCGACCGGCCACAUUGGGACUGAGAUACGGCCCAGACUCCUACGGGAGGCAGCAGUGGGGAAUAUUGCACGAUGGGCGGAAGCCUGAUGCAGCAACGCCGCGUGCGGGAUGACGGCCUUCGGGUUGUAAACCGCUUUCAGCAGGGGCGAAGCUUGUGGUGACGGUACCUGCAGAAGAAGCACCGGCUAACUACGUG